RNAcentral lists this ribosomal RNA (433 nucleotides) under uncultured bacterium. Its description in RNAcentral is "partial 16S ribosomal RNA". It matches the Rfam family "Bacterial small subunit ribosomal RNA", at positions 29 to 507 of the family's 1533-position model. The record is from RNAcentral.
AACGAACGCUGGCGGCAUGCCUAACACAUGCAAGUCGAACGAGACCUUCGGGUCUAGUGGCGCACGGGUGCGUAACGCGUGGGAACCUGCCUUUAGGUUCGGAAUAACUCAGAGAAAUUUGAGCUAAUACCGGAUGAUGUCUUCGGACCAAAGAUUUAUCGCCUUUAGAUGGGCCCGCGUUGGAUUAGCUAGUUGGUGGGGUAAAGGCCUACCAAGGCGACGAUCCAUAGCUGGUCUGAGAGGAUGAUCAGCCACACUGGGACUGAGACACGGCCCAGACUCCUACGGGAGGCAGCAGUGGGGAAUAUUGGACAAUGGGCGAAAGCCUGAUCCAGCAAUGCCGCGUGAGUGAUGAAGGCCUUAGGGUUGUAAAGCUCUUUUACCCGAGAUGAUAAUGACAGUAUCGGGAGAAUAAGCGCCGGCUAACUCCCUG